GUGGGUGUAGCUCAGUGGAUAGAGCGCCAGACUGUGGCUCUGGACGCCGGGGGUUCAAAUCCCCUCACCCACCC
RNAcentral lists this transfer RNA (74 nucleotides) under candidate division TA06 bacterium ADurb.Bin131. RNAcentral's name for it is "tRNA-His". It matches the Rfam family "tRNA". From Rfam's summary of the family: Transfer RNA (tRNA) molecules are approximately 80 nucleotides in length. Their secondary structure includes four short double-helical elements and three loops (D, anti-codon, and T loops). The record is from RNAcentral.